This 252-nucleotide ribosomal RNA is filed under the name uncultured Bacteroidales bacterium. Its description in RNAcentral is "partial 16S ribosomal RNA". It matches the Rfam family "Bacterial small subunit ribosomal RNA", at positions 524 to 776 of the family's 1533-position model. Lineage: Bacteria; Pseudomonadati; Bacteroidota; Bacteroidia; Bacteroidales. The record is from RNAcentral.
UACGGAGGAUUCAAGCGUUAUCCGGAUUUAUUGGGUUUAAAGGGUGCGUAGGCGGUCCGUUAAGUCAGCGGUAAAAUUGCGGGGCUCAACCCCGUCGAGCCGUUGAAACUGGCAGACUUGAGUUGGCGAGAAGUACGCGGAAUGCGCGGUGUAGCGGUGAAAUGCAUAGAUAUCACGAAGAACUCCGAUUGCGAAGGCAGCCUGCUGGACUGUAACUGACGCUGAUGCUCGAAAGUGUGGGUAUCAAACAGG